AUUGAACGCUGGCGGCAGGCCUAACACAUGCAAGUCGAACGAGUGGCGGACGGGUGAGUAAUGUCUGGGAAACUGCCUGAUGGAGGGGGAUACCUACUGGAAACGGUAGCUAAUACCGCAUACCAUCAGAGUUGCACAGAUGGGAUUAGCUUGUUGGUGGGGUAACGGUUCACCAAGGCAAAGAUCCCUAGCUGGUCGGAGAGGAGUACCAGCCCACCUGGAACUGAGACACGGUCAAGCUUCCUACGGGAGGCAGCAGUGGGGAAUAUUGCACAAUGGGCGCAAGCCUGAUGCAGCCAUGCCGCGUGUAUGAAGAGGGCCUUCGGGUUGUAAAGUCCUUUCAGCGGGGAGGCGUUACCCGCAGAAGAAGCACCGGCUAACUCCGUGCCAGCAGCCGCGGUAAUAC
Molecule: ribosomal RNA, 406 nt
Filed under: uncultured bacterium
Lineage: Bacteria
Description: partial 16S ribosomal RNA
Rfam family: Bacterial small subunit ribosomal RNA
Source: RNAcentral